Molecule: RNA transcript, 2251 nt
Organism: Raphanus sativus (radish)
Lineage: Eukaryota; Viridiplantae; Streptophyta; Magnoliopsida; Brassicales; Brassicaceae
Gene name: probable polygalacturonase
Exons: 5
Source: RefSeq, a predicted model, not a curated record
UCAACGUCCAUUAGAGCUAUCUCAAGCAAAUCCUCGAUCAAGAAGAUCUUUGAUAUCCUCAAAGAUAUCGAUUAAAUCUCUUCUGCUAUUACAUGUUCUCGUUUUUCUCAUAUCUCUUGUUCUCUGAACAGCGAUGCUGAUUAUCUCGCAAAACAGGUUUUUAGAGCACUUUCAAUAGGAUUGCUUAUGGAGAUGCUAAGGGGUGGAUUUCACCAGAAAAAGAAGAAAUAGCGGUGCAAAGUGUGCUUAAUUAAACAUUGAAGUUUAAGUUUGUACUAUUUCGUGGGUUCUAUGACAUGUGGUAGCACACGAUUGGUUUUUUUUCUUGAAUCAGAUAAAAAAAUUAAAAAAUAAGCACCGGAAUGCUGCGUUAAUGAUGCUCUUUAAGGCUUUCUCAAUUUCUGCUUCUACUUGUAACCCCAUGUUGGACUAGCCCGUUUAGGGUCCAGACAUUUUUUCUUUAUUUAAUAUCAAAUCGUUGCGAAAAAAUAAAUCCAUGAUAACCCUAACCUUCACAAUAAAAGUUCCAUUCCACUAAAGAAGGGCUUGGUUCGUGUCGUUGGGAAGAAAUCUGGAGAUGGCGUUGCAGAAGCUAGUUUCCUCCGUUGCUAAAAUAAUCGAAACGAGCAGCGGCCUCUGCAGCAGGUUAGGGUUGACCAAUUGUCCUCGACCAUGAAACGUGUGUGGGAAGAAGAGGUCAGCCAGAACAAACUCGGUGUUUCCCUGGUACUAGCCGCUGCAGGUCUGGUCGGUCACAAAAAGAGCGAGUAUGACGAUGUGAAAAAUUUGAGAGCACAGCUCCAUCAGAUACUUGCGGACUGUGAGAUCCUGUUGCAGCGUUGCGAUGCAAAUUCGCAAGCUUUUCAUUCUACGGAGGCGAAGAUGAAGAAGCUGAAGAGAGAAAUUUGGUUAUCCAAGGAAACAUGAUGAUGAUGAUUACUCAACUCAAAAACAAACAACAAUCUCUGCUCCUCUACUUGCUUCAUGUUUACAUUUAUGCUUUGUGUGUUGUUUUUAUGUAUGAACUUCCCUAAACUUUGAACUAACUUCCCUAAACUUUAAAAGAAAAGAUUCGUUUGUAAAAGUUCACGUGCAUUUCGGUGAUUCAAAUGAAACAAGAGUAUGAGAAAACAAGACACAAAAGUAACAUGCUUCUCUUACUCAACUAGCUGGUUUGAAAAAAAAAUAUGAACACAAUCGAUGGACAAGGGAAAAUGUGGUGGGAGUUAUGGUGGAACAGAACAUUAGUGCAUACGAGAGGCCAUCUUAUUGAGAUCAAGAACUCUCAUAAUAUCCUCAUCUCUAACCUCACUUUGCUCAACUCUCCUUUCUGGACUAUCCAUCCUGUUUACUGCAGGUUCCUUAUUUAUACUUCCAAAACUGUUUUUGCUUGCAUUUAUGCUCUGUUACAAGUGUGCAUGGUUCAAAUAAUCUCUAUACCAUUUUUAUCUUACAGCAAUGUUGUUGUUAGAAACAUGACCAUCCUUGCUCCAAUGAAUGCUCCUAACACCGACCGAUGAUAUAGACCCAUACUCAAGCACCAACGUCUGCAUUGAGGACUGUUACAUCGAAAGCGGCGAUGACCUUGUAGCUGUGAAGAGCGGGUGGGACCAGUACGGAAUGGCCAUGGCACGUCCGAGUUCAAACAUCAUCAUCAGACGGAUCUCUGGGACUACACGAACUUGUUCAGGUGUUGGAAUAGGUAGUGAGAUGUCUGGUGGGAUUUUCAACGUAACAAUCCAAGACAUUCACGUCUGGGACUCAGCAGCUGGGCUCCGCAUCAAAACAGAUAUAGGGAGAGGCGGUUACAUUUCGAAUAUCACCGUUAGUAAUGUGUUCUUGGAGAAAGUGAAAGUUCCAAUAAGGUUCAGCAGAGGCUCUAACGACCACCCUGUGAGUGUGGAUUCAAGAAAGGCUCCAAUGUUGCUUGGUGUUGAAGGUGCAUCGUUUCAAGAUAUAUGUUUGAGGAAUGUAACGCUCUUGGGUUACCGGAGACAGAGAAAUGGAAAUGCAAGGAUGUUUCAGGGUAUGCGAGUGAUGUUUUUCCUUUGCCAUGUCCACAAUUGUUGCAGAGGAAAGGUUUGCUCUCUCAGUGUUCAUAGAUGAGUUUUUGAGGUUCUUGAUUAAAUGGUGUUUUGGUUAGUUAGUUUUUUAGAUUUACAUGUGAUGAUGAUGGUAGAGGAGGCCAUGAGUUUGAGCGAUUUUUUUUUUUGGUUCGGGUGAAGAUUCAUGGUCUACUUUACAUGAUGUC